Molecule: long non-coding RNA, 5710 nt
Filed under: Paramuricea clavata
Lineage: Eukaryota; Metazoa; Cnidaria; Anthozoa; Malacalcyonacea; Plexauridae
Source: RNAcentral
CUUCAUGUUGGCGCCCCACAAAAUGGCGGCUGAAGAAGCAAAGUUUAAGACAAUCAUCAUGCUAAUCCUACCUUCGUUUAAAGGUAAUACAUUUUAUUUAGCAUCAGUACUUUUAGUAGAGUACUUAGAUUGCUAAUAUAGAUAACAUUUUUGGACAUCGAGCUAGAAUUUAGAGCGAUAUUUCGGUAUAAAAUUUGUACUUUCCAUGGACCAUGUGCUUAAUGACCUUAAUCGCUAGUUCGGUAUUGUCGAAAUAAAAACGUGAUUUCGAUGAAGUCGUUGUUCAAUAGUUGUGGACCAACCUAAUAAAAAGACUUAGCAGAGUCUAAAAUUGUUUAAACCGCCGAACAAAGACUUAUUUUUGAGUUUUAUUGUGGUAUACCAAGGGGGUAUUAAAAGUUUUAUAGGACUUGAGGGCAUUUCUCACUCCAAAAACUAAGUACGCUAAGCAAAAAAAAUCCGGGAAUGAUCUGGCAAUUAGGAAAAUCCGUCAAAAUCUAAAUUUAAAAGUCUGUUCAAAUCCUUAAAUAAAAUCCACGAGAAAUCCGGAAAAAUCUCACAAAAUCUCUUUUUUUAUAACUCCAAGAAAAAAUCUGCGGAUUUUUGAACGUCUGAGAUGAAUUUCUGAGAUGUGUUCAAAAAAGUUAUUUCUGAGGGGUAAAAUGGGCAUCAGCAUCCUUUGAUCUUAAUAGGGUUUUCUCUGAGAUCUGGCAAAAAUGUACAAAUCGGGUGUAAGGCCAGCACUUUGAACUUUUUUUCUUGGGGGUUCAAAUUUUACUGAGCUCGUCCAUAUAGGGGUGGAUUUUUUUGGAAUGGCCAUUUCAGAGAAAUUGAAUGAAAAAAAUUAAAAAUGGGUCAUUCCAGAAAAGAUCCAUACCCCCCCUACGGAGGAAAUCGAAAAUAACCCCCUUCCCCCCUUCGGACAUCCUUGAAUGGUUCAUCCUCCCCCCUCUCCGGACGUCAAAGCCCAAAAUUACUCCCCUCCCCUUCGGACAUCCACUAUUUCUAAAUUUAUCUAAAGGCUACCUUGCCGUUUGAAAACGUCACCGAAAAUUAGACUACGUUCACACUACGCGCGAGCGAACUAAUGCGGGCAGAAUUUACGUGUGUUCAGACUAAGCCAUUACAGUUUGUUUACAAAUUAAAUUAGCACUCAUGUAAACCCAAAAUAUUUGAAAUUGAGCCAAGAAAUUUAGCUGAAAAGCAUUCGAGUUUACAUGUUUGUGUUCACACAAAGCUAUCAAGCGCUCCGUUUUCACCUCGUUCCAUUUAGAAACCGUGCUCAAAUUGUUACGGCAAAAGUGACGUGAAAGUUUUCAAAUGAUUUCGCUCCAAAAAAUAUAACAUGCAGGAAAAAUAUAACAUACGUACAUUCUUAACAUGCAGGAUACGCUGUUACAGCGAGUUAGUUUUUGGUGGCCAUGCAUGCAAUAGUGGGCCGCUUAUUUUGCUUACGAGUUACGUGGACAUAUAAUUAUUGCUGUUACAUAAACGUUCCGGUGUUUAAGAGCUACAUAUAGCCGAUAAAAAUUGUAUGCUCAUUAUAUAAUCGCCGAUCACAUAGCUUUAUCACAGUCUCAAACCUUCAGACAAACAUAUCCACAUUCCUCCCUCCCCCUUCGGACAGAAAAAAUUUCCUCUGUGGGAGGGGUAUGGAUCUUUUCUGGAACGACCCAAUCACAAAAGAUAGAGAAGUAACACAUUUCUAAAACAAAAAAAUCACCAAAAAUAGUGAUUUUAUGAUUUUUUUACACUCAUUAGGGCUAUUUACACGACAGUCAAUUGUGGUGCCUGUGACUGGCUCUUGAUCAUUGCAGGUUAUUGGAUUGGGCGAAGAGGUUUAACUUCGAAAAUCCACCCUAAUUCAUUAUCAACAUUUUCCUAAAUUGAAAAACUGAAAUCUAAAAUCUCCUUUAAAAUCUACUGAAAAUUUUGCAAAAAGUUCCAAAGUGCAGGGAUUUGGGAAUCCAAAAAUCCAAGCAGUUAUAAAGUCUGUGAUUUAUAUCCUCAAUAAAAAAAUUCUCUUAAAUUCUUUGUAGUUCUACAUUGCAAUUUCCAAGAAUGUUUCAAGUUGUUGCCUGAAGAUUGAUUUCUGAAAAAUGCAAAUGAAAGGUAUAUAUCAUCUUUACUCUCUAAUUUGUAGCCUUAUUUUUUUAAUCGAUUAUAACGGUUGGAAAUCGGCUAUUUGCAAAUCACUCAAUGGCCGACUAAUUUUAUUAGAUCAAAUACACAGUUUCCAUUAGGUACAUUUAAGAUUUGUACCUACUGUUGAAAAAGGGUAAAUAAAGCAACUGUGAAAGAACACAAAACAUUUUCUUGGCUUCCUUGCAACAAGCAAUAAAAUCCUGAAUAGGUUUGUGUUACCAGAAAAUUUAGGAACAUUAUUUUUUGGGAACAAGAAAGUUUUGGUUGCAUAAAUUGUUGGGUCUGCUUACCAAAACUUGUGUAACAUGAUCAUGCUGGCCAGGAAGUUGCACAAGCUGUCAAUUAAAUAUUGAAAAGCUUGUUGACCAUUUUUGGCCAAUGUUUGAGCAACUGCGCAGUUGAUUUUGACAUUUGUCAGGCCCAAAUUAAAUUGUUAUAAUCCACACUUUAGUGGAGUACACUCCACUUGAUGAAUAAAAUUAUCUGGCAUUAGACAACAAGGUUAAUUAAUCCCCAUGGCAUUAUUAAUUCCCAAGCCUCUGGCGUAAAAAAAAUACCUGUGGUUCCGGUUUCAUAUUGUGAAAAAAUUAGGGUCGGUAGGUCGGAAAUAAUUUUUUUUUUUAAAUUUUUUUUCAUGGUUUUGGCGUUUGUCUGGAGUUACUGUAAGGCGCUUUUCGGGUCCUCGCACGAAGCUCCUCGCUGCGAGUGCUUGCAUCUAAUUAAAAUUAACUGUUUUGCAUUGUGAUUGGAUGAAGGUGCUCAUGCAUCACUCGCAGCUCGCUGCGAGGAGCUUCAUGCGAGGACUGGAAAACCCCUUAAGGCAGCAUAAUAAUUAACAUUAAUCCAGGGUUCGAAAUAACGGUGAUUCACAAAUCACGAAUCAAUUUUCAUUUUUCACGAACCCAAGUUCAUAGAAAUUGAUCAAAAUCACAAAUCAAAAGUUUCUCAAAUUGAUAAAAAUAUACAAUAAUAAAUUCAGUUCUUUGUAAAUGUGAUGAAGGAUCAUAUAUUCUGAAGAUAUUGUUGUUAGAUUGUACUUAAAAACGAUUAUAAUUCCACCCAAAAUUCUAUUUUUUUUGCGAGUUUGCGAUGUAUAUUAUAUAUUUGAAAAUUGCAGUGCUUCCACUUUUUUACUUCCAAUUAGCGAAAAUUUCUUGAAAAUUCCUUAAAAUUUCCUUAAAAUAAAAAAAUAAUUCACGAACCAUUUUUUCAGAAUUAAUUCGAACCCUGUAAUCUGUUUCAUCCAGUUCUUUAUAUGGUAGUCAUCUUAAAUAAUUAUUAUUUCAAACUUCUAGAUGUAUGGUGCAAGUUCCAAGAAUGUCAAUUUUUGGUUGAAGUGUUGCAGAUCGCACAAACGUGAACACUGUUGACAGAAAGUGUAAGAAAGGUCUUAUUUUUAUGUCUUAUUUUAAUUAUAAAAUGCUUUAAACAUUAUACAAUUUUCUGUGACCAGAGGCUGUGUUUUUUUUACCGUCAUAUUCAUUAAAAAAACGACAACAAAAAUAUAAAAAUCUGAAAUGAAUUAAGUUGGUGUAAAUCCACAAUAUUCAUUGUCAAUAUUUAUAUUAUUAUACAAUUAUUUUGGUGGAUAUAAAUUUGGAUAUAGAUAAAAGUUUCAUGCUCAAUUGGUUGUUCAAGUUUUGUGUUGCCCCCAAUCACAGAAUAUCUCAAAUGUUCAAAGUAUUUUAAUUUCGGAACAAGCCAAAAAAUGAUAAACUGUUUGUGUUUUAAAAAAGUUAUGAUUUUUCCUUUUAUUUGAAUCAGUACAGACAUAAAUUGGCACAGUAGUUCAAAAAACACAUACAUGUGUAUAAAUUAUGUGUUUAUUCAAGUUAAAUAUGUUGUAUUUACAUAUUUUGAAAGAAUUUUGCAAGUAUCAUAUAAUCUGUGGCAAAAAAUACGAGUAUUCAGUUUGUCAUUAUUUGGCUUUGUAACAUCAAUUCAUUUUAAACAAUGGGAAAAUUGAGGUGGUUUUACAACAGGCCAAAACAUUUCUAUAUGUUCAAACGUGAAUUAACAUUUGAUCUUUAAAUUCAAAAUUCAGUGUUUUCUGGAAAGGUCCUGUUUCUUCUUUUGGUAUCAACUUGAAGUAUGUUUAUCAAAUUAUCAAGAACAUAACAAUGAUCAAAGUUUCUGGGCAAAUGUAAUUUGCACUUGAAUUUGUUAAUCAAAAUGCAUUGUGAGAACAGAAUAUCCUUGGGCUUCUGGAUUACCAUCUCAGUAUUCUCUUGUUUAAGUAGACUUUCAGUAUUUGUUUGAGAGUUUGAAAAGUUCACUUGAAAAUCACAUAGUUUGUACCAAAAUUGAUUCUAGAUGAUACGUUAUUUGAGUCUUCAAAUAUUAUAUCUUGGAACAGACAAUUUGGGAUCAAUUGAAGUUUACAACUGUGACCUUUAAAAUUGACACUGUUAGAGCUGCUUGUUGUUUAAUAGUCUUGUCUUAUUUACCCCAGUACACUCUUAUUGUGAGUUUUGAUUAUUCCUGGACACAAAUAAAAUGGAUUUGUUGAGGAACAAGGCAGUUCUAUACAGUGCUGACUUAUAGGGGGGGUUGUGUUCUUCAGUUGUUCUUGGAUUCUUUUGGCAAACAGAUUAUUGUUUUUAACAACACAUUUGAACUUUGGAACAAACUUUGUGAUAUUAAAAUAUACUUUUCCAACUUUAAAACAAAUAUUUGACAUUACAAAGUGGAACUUGUUUGUAUGUGGAUGAACUGAAGCUGCAAGUUGGAAAAUGUCAGACAGCACUGAUAAUUUACUAAAUUCCAAAACAAUUUUUCAAGUCGAGAUUGUCUUGUUGGCAGAUUGACAUUAAAUCACAAUGUGCGACACCUCUCAGAAAUCUAUCUAUAUUUGACAUACUGGUACACGGGAAAUUUUUACUUUUGGAUUUUGCUGCCAGGAAGAGAAAUAUAUUUUCUAGUCCUGUGAAGCAGCAAACUAUGUACAAUAUUGGGGUAGCAUGAGCUAGAUUGUAAAAUGAAAAGAAAACCACAACCAGUCAACACAAUGGUGUUCUUUGGAAUAUGUUUUGCACUAUAACAAAGAAAAGAAAAACAAUAAAACAGUCAAAAGUAAAUUGUCUGGUAAAAAUAUGUUACAUAAUACACGGUACAUGUUUAUAUGCAUGAUGAUUUCAAACAUCAGUACGUUCAGCCAUUAGAGUUUCAAUAAUUCUUAAACAAAUUAAGUUCACACUUAAUGUAACAAUUUGGGAUGAACAAUCACAUUGAGGUGCAUCGAUACUGAAGAUAAGAUCGGCUGUCUUUGUGUUACGUGUGCAAAGACAAAGUUGAUCCUUAUGUAAUGAAAUUGAUUUAAUUUUGUAUGUUUGUUUCCUUGGCUUCAGUUCAACUUCAAAUAGUUCCACUUUGUAACAGUAUGUUAUAAUAGUCAUAAUAAUAAUAAUAUAAGAAAACAGGUUUACGUGGCAUUUGAACAUGGUCUUUUAAAGGUAAAGGUGAGUUUAUACUUCAAAGAGAUCUGUUUUUAACCUGACAACAAAAGUGUCCAAAAUUUACUAAAAUUAAUCUUUCUGAGCUUUUUUGCUUUAUGAAUAUAUUGAGG